AAGGCUUUAGCUUAAUUAAAGUAUCUGUUUUGCAUACAGGAGAUGUGGGUUAAUGUCCCGCAAGUCUUA
Molecule: transfer RNA, 69 nt
Filed under: Minimugil cascasia (yellowtail mullet)
Lineage: Eukaryota; Metazoa; Chordata; Actinopteri; Mugiliformes; Mugilidae
Description: tRNA-Ala
Rfam family: tRNA
About the family: Transfer RNA (tRNA) molecules are approximately 80 nucleotides in length.
Source: RNAcentral